RNAcentral lists this ribosomal RNA (500 nucleotides) under uncultured bacterium. RNAcentral's name for it is "partial 16S ribosomal RNA". It matches the Rfam family "Bacterial small subunit ribosomal RNA", at positions 29 to 523 of the family's 1533-position model. The record is from RNAcentral.
AUUGAACGCUGGCGGCAUGCCUUACACAUGCAAGUCGAACGGCAGCGCGGACUUCGGUCUGGCGGCGAGUGGCGAACGGGUGAGUAAUACAUCGGAACGUACCCUGUUGUGGGGGAUAACUAGUCGAAAGAUUAGCUAAUACCGCAUACGACCGGAGGGUGAAAGUGGGGUACUGCAAGGCGUCACGCAGCAGGAGCGGCCGAUGUCUGAUUAGCUAGUUGGUGGGGUAAAGGCCCACCAAGGCGACGAUCAGUAGCUGUUCUGAGAGGACGAUGAGCCACACUGGGACUGAGACACGGCCCAGCCUACGACGGGAGGCAGCAGUAGGGAAUUUUGGACAAUGGGGGCAACCCUGAUGCAGCAAUGCCGCGUGUGUGAAGAAGGCCUUCGGGUUGUAAAGCACUUUUGUGCGGAAAGAAAUCGCGCUGGUUAAGACCUGGCGUGGAUGGCGGUACCGGAAGAAUAAGCACCGGCUAACUACGUGCCAGCAGCCGCGGUAA